This 253-nucleotide ribosomal RNA is filed under the name uncultured bacterium. RNAcentral's name for it is "partial 16S ribosomal RNA". It matches the Rfam family "Bacterial small subunit ribosomal RNA", at positions 524 to 776 of the family's 1533-position model. The record is from RNAcentral.
UACGAAGGGGGCUAGCGUUGCUCGGAAUCACUGGGCGUAAAGGGUGCGUAGGCGGGUCUUUAAGUCAGGGGUGAAAUCCUGGAGCUCAACUCCAGAACUGCCUUUGAUACUGAGGAUCUUGAGUUCGGGAGAGGUGAGUGGAACUGCGAGUGUAGAGGUGAAAUUCGUAGAUAUUCGCAAGAACACCAGUGGCGAAGGCGGGUCUCUGGGCCGUAACUGACGCUGAGGAGCGAAAGCGUGGGGAGCAAACAGG